This 389-nucleotide ribosomal RNA is filed under the name uncultured bacterium. Its description in RNAcentral is "bacterial SSU rRNA". It matches the Rfam family "Bacterial small subunit ribosomal RNA", at positions 29 to 408 of the family's 1533-position model. The record is from RNAcentral.
AACGAACGCUGGCGGCGCGCCUAAUACAUGCAAGUCGAGCGAGAAGACGUAGCAAUACGUUUGUAAAGCGGCGAACGGGUGAGGGAAUACAUGGGGUAACCUACCCUCGAGUGGGGAAUAACUAGCCGAAAGGUUAGCUAAUACCGCGUACGCUCCUUGGACUUCGGUUCAGGGAGGAAAGCGAUACCGUGGGUAUCGCGCUCCUGGAUGGGCUCAUGUCCUAUCAGCUUGUUGGUGAGGAACGGCUCACCAAGGCUUCGACGGGUAGCUGGUCUGAGAGGACGAUCAGCCACACUGGCACUGCGACACGGGCCAGACUCCUACGGGAGCAGCAGUAAGGAAUAUUGCGCAAUGGGCGAAAGCCUGACGCAGCGACGCCGCGUGGGGGA